GGCAGAAGUAAAGCUGAAGUUCUCAACUCUUGGUUCCGCUGAGAAGUCCUCCAUCACUGCCAUGUCUGCCAGAUUGAAACAAGACUUUAUGAAUGUGUGCAUUAGCUCCAUGAGGGAGAGGAAUGACAGAAGAGGGGGAAAGGGGAAAGGUAUGUUUUUUCAGAACUUCUGGUUUUCCUGUGGAACUUCGAGUCAGUGACUGCAAAACCGAAAAGACCAAACUGAAUAUUAGAACAGCAAAUGAACGGUCAAAGGAAAUGACUUCCUGAAAGAAAGACCUAGGGAUAGCCUACAGAAAUGAUGCAAGGAUUUCGUGUGACCACCAAAACAAGGAAGAUGGGAGGCUGGGAGUGAUUCAGUUCCUAAUUCCUUACCUUGGAAAACCAUGAAUUCUUGUGAGUAAGCCCAGCCCAAGGUAAUGAAAGUAUAAAAAUAU
Long non-coding RNA from Choloepus didactylus (southern two-toed sloth), 436 nucleotides. RefSeq lists it as uncharacterized. The record is from RefSeq and is a predicted model, not a curated record. The transcript is spliced from 3 exons. NCBI's taxonomy places the organism in Eukaryota, Metazoa, Chordata, Mammalia, Pilosa, Megalonychidae.